UAUCUCUGCAUGUUGAUGUUGAGUAUGAUCAGAAGACUAGUAUUCAUUAUUACACUUCAAACCUAUGCCUCCUAGCUAUAUUAAGUAUUGAUUCAAAACAAAAAUUCAAAAAACAAAUGUUCACAAAUCUCUCUAUCUCUCUCUCUCUUCAUCCCCUUCACACCAAACUUCGCCGGAGAUUUUGCACCGCCAAAACAGUUGACAUUUCCACAAUUCUUUAACAAUCCCUCUCUCUCUCUCUCUCUCUCUCUCUCUCUCUCUUCAUCCCAUCCAAACCACCUUCACCGGAGAUUUCCACCGCCAAAAAAAUCAGCAAAUUAUCUUCCUCCACACCAACUUCACCGGAGAUUUCCACCACCAUCGGAGUUUCAAAUGCGUCGGUCUUCUUAGCAAAAGGUAACACCUUUGUUUUUCUGUAGAAAUCUGUGUUUUUUUGGUUGUUUACAUUUUGAAACAAAAAUGUAGGGUUUUAUUGUAUACUUCUCCAUUAUUGAGAUGCAUGUGGUUGUUUGUCUAAUAUUGCAAAAAAA
Helianthus annuus (common sunflower) is the source of this 530-nucleotide long non-coding RNA. RefSeq lists it as uncharacterized. The transcript has 2 exons. NCBI's taxonomy places the organism in Eukaryota, Viridiplantae, Streptophyta, Magnoliopsida, Asterales, Asteraceae. The record is from RefSeq and is a predicted model, not a curated record.